AAUAUUUUAGAAGCAAAAUAGCGGAUUAGAGAAUUAUUUGUUACAAGUCAUCUGAAUAAAAUGCAUCGGUUUGUGUUGCUUCUCGUGUUGAUAUUGUGUAUUGCUUUGUGUAUCGCCGAUGAAUUAGAACCUAAAUCACAGACAUGCAAGGAAAAUUGUGAAGCAAGGGGAUACCCUUCUGGCAGUAAUUCAAUUUGUUAUAUUAUUUAUUGCCUGGGUCAAUGGUGAAGAAAUUAGUCGUUACAGACCAAACUGUUAAAAAAUAAAAUCAUACUGGU
Molecule: long non-coding RNA, 278 nt
Organism: Patella vulgata (common limpet)
Lineage: Eukaryota; Metazoa; Mollusca; Gastropoda; Patellidae
Exons: 3
Source: RefSeq, a predicted model, not a curated record